GGUUACUAACUGCUGAGUCCUGGAGAGAGAUUUUCAAUUUCUGAAGACUCCAGGUCAGUCCUUGAGGCAUUGCAACUCGAAGCAAGUCACAUCAUUAUUCUGUGAAGGUCAUGUUUGCGAGGUGGUAAAGACUCGAAUUACAUUGACCAGACUGGAAGGAUUAUUGAUUUCAAAUGCAGAUUCCUCCAUUGAUUUGAUGACAGUAUUCAAGUCCUGUAUUGCCAAGUACCUGUCACCAAUCCUGUUGAUCGAUGAUGUCUUCUGGAAAGUACUGGAAAAUUCUGGGAUUGGAUUGCAGG
Rhincodon typus (whale shark) is the source of this 299-nucleotide long non-coding RNA. RefSeq lists it as uncharacterized. The record is from RefSeq and is a predicted model, not a curated record. The transcript has 4 exons. Lineage: Eukaryota; Metazoa; Chordata; Chondrichthyes; Orectolobiformes; Rhincodontidae.